GACGAACGCUGGCGGCAUGCCUAAUACAUGCAAGUCGAACGCUGAAGCACUCUGCUUGCAGAGUGCGGAUGAGUGGCGAACGGGUGAGUAACACGUGGGAACUCUGCCUAUAAGAGGGGGAUAACAUUCGGAAACGGAUGCUAAUACCGCAUAUAUUCUUGGACCGCCUGGUCCUUGAAAGAAAGACGGCUUUGCUGUCGCUUAUAGAUGAUCCCGCGGCGUAUUAGUUAGUUGGUGGGGUAAAGGCCUACCAAGACAAUGAUACGUAGCCGACCUGAGAGGGUGAUCGGCCACACUGGGACUGAGACACGGCCCAGACUCCUACGGGAGGCAGCAGUAGGGAAUCUUCCACAAUGGGCGAAAGCCUGAUGGAGCAAUGCCGCGUGAAUGAAGAAGGUCUUCGGAUCGUAAAGUUCUGUUAUUAGAGAAGAACAAGUCAAGGAGUAACUGUCUUGACUUUGACGGUACCUAACCAGAAAGUCACGGCUAACUACGUG
This 497-nucleotide ribosomal RNA is filed under the name uncultured bacterium. Its description in RNAcentral is "partial 16S ribosomal RNA". It matches the Rfam family "Bacterial small subunit ribosomal RNA", at positions 28 to 507 of the family's 1533-position model. The record is from RNAcentral.